CCGGUUUCAUUUGAUGAAUUUUAUUUCAGAGAAUAUUUUAUUUUGAAAAAUAAAUCCGUCAAGUUAAGUUGGAUUUUAGUGAACAAUUAUAUGAUUAACACGAACUUACUUUGCUUCAAACCUCGUAUAACGAACUCUCCCAGUAUCGGGACUUGUGUGACUCGAGUUAGAGCGAAUGAUGAGCUGGCAAAACAAAAAGUCAGUUUCAGGCAGCCACGUUUCAUUUAGUUCCGCGUCGAUGUUCAUGCCACGUCAGA
Molecule: long non-coding RNA, 257 nt
Organism: Arabidopsis thaliana (thale cress)
Lineage: Eukaryota; Viridiplantae; Streptophyta; Magnoliopsida; Brassicales; Brassicaceae
Product: other RNA
Exons: 1
Source: RefSeq